UGGUAUCAGAGCCUAGGCUUCAUAGAUUAAGGUAAGAAUUAAUUAUCUAAAGGCUUAUUAGAUCUGAAAAUUGAAUGAUCAUGCAUGCUGAAAAUUUCUGCAUGCAGAUUUUUUAGGGGUGCUGAUUUUUGCAUGCUGAUUUUUAUGUGAUAAGAUGAUGAUUCUAAUUGCAUUGUUAAUGAGAUUACAAAGUUUAGAAUCAUGAUUAGCAUGAUCAGCAACCUAUGUCAUGAUAUAAUCAGUUAGUUUUCAGAUCUGAAAAUUAUAAUUGUUGCAUAUGGUGAUGAUCAUAGGAUUCAAACCCUUUUGGUAUCAAAUGUAAUGACUUG
Molecule: long non-coding RNA, 329 nt
Filed under: Phoenix dactylifera (date palm)
Lineage: Eukaryota; Viridiplantae; Streptophyta; Magnoliopsida; Arecales; Arecaceae
Description: long non-coding RNA (PDAC_LNC006684)
Source: RNAcentral